AAAUGAAUAGACGGGGGCCCGCACAAGCGGCGGAGCAUGCGGAUUAAUUCGAUGCAACGCGAAGAACCUUACCAAGGCUUGACAUAUACCGGACACAUCUAGAGAUAGGUGCUCCUUCGGGUCGGUAUACAGGUGGUGCAUGGUUGUCGUCAGCUCGUGUCGUGAGAUGUUGGGUUAAGUCCCGCAACGAGCGCAACCCUUGUCUCAUGUUGCCAGCAAUUCGGUUGGGGACUCAUGGGAGACUGCCGGGGUCAACUCGGAGGAAGGUGGGGAUGACGUCAAAUCAUCAUGCCCCUUAUGUCUUGGGCUUCACGCAUGCUACAAUGGCCGGUACAACGGGUUGCGAAAUCGUAAGGUGGAGCGAAUCCCUAAAAGCCGGUCUCAGUUCGGAUUGGGGUCUGCAACUCGACCCCAUGAAGUCGGAGUCGCUAGUAAUCGCAGAUCAGCAACGCUGCGGUGAAUACGUUCCCGGGCCUUGUACACACCGCCCGU
Molecule: ribosomal RNA, 492 nt
Filed under: uncultured bacterium
Lineage: Bacteria
Description: bacterial SSU rRNA
Rfam family: Bacterial small subunit ribosomal RNA
Source: RNAcentral